UUCGAUACUUGACUUUCAGUAUUUUCGUUUACAAUAAUUGUGUACAUCAUAAAACAAGUAGUUCUGUAAAUGUAGACUGUUGUGACGGCGGUAGUGUAUUUGUCAUGUAUGUCGUGUUCAGGUAUUACAAGGUGUAGUUAGUUAAACUUAAUGUUUUCGAAUGAGGUAUACAGUAGAAAAUGACAUUAUGGCUACGAAAUAUGUUGGGAGGAGCUGAUAAAAAAUGUUUUUUAUAGGCAGUACUGUCAUGUUACAGAACAAGAGCUCGAAACGUAGUGGAAUGAAGGAUAAGUAGGAACACCGUGGUUAACCAUGGCCGGAGUUCAUCCAGAAAACGAGGAACGGUUGAAUUGGAUAGAAUUCUGUGACAGGCAUGCAAAAACUGCAGCUACUGACUUUGCUAAAGCUUUUUGUACCUAUGUCAGUUCUAACCUCCCAGAAAAUGCAAGGAACACAGUGUCACAUCGUGAUUUCGUCCGUAAAUUUGUUGACUAUUUUGUAGAACAUUUUGAAGCAGAAUUUACAAAGAAGAAUCUUACAAAUCACAAGGAUAAGAUUGUGAAUGGGAACAACAUUGUCACUUCUGGCACCACAAAUCCAUCAGCUCCCCGAGCAAAUAGCCAUGAAGAAUUCAGUGAUUAUUCAGAGCAUGAAGCGGAUUCCUCAUCCCCAAAAACUCUUCAUAAACCAUUCUUCCGUAGGCUUUCAUUUAAAGGGCUGAAGAAAGGAAAAGGUUUUUUUCACAAACAGCAUUCAGAUGAACUUGAAUUGUCAUCACAUCAUGACAGAUAUUCAAAACAUGACAAACAUUCCAAAACGAAAUUGGCAAAGAUUGUUGUUGAGUGUAGAAAAGAGGGAAUUGUUAACUACUUGAUGGGUGAGAAUAUAGAUGGCACACAAAAGUGGGAGAAGUGUCGGCUGGCCUUAGUAAAAACUGUAGGUGGCUAUAUGUUGGAGUUCUAUUCUCCCCCGAAGGCAGUGAAACCCAAAAGUGGUGUGUUUUGUUUCUUGAUCACAGAAGCAAGGGAAACUACAGCCUUGGAAAUGCCUGACCAUGAAAAUACAUUUGUUCUGAAAGCUGAAAACAACAUGGAGUAUGUAAUAGAAGCUCAUGACACUGAUGAUAUGCGAUCAUGGCUGGCAACCAUCAAGUACUGUAUGAGAACCAUGCUUCCAAGUCAAGAUGGGAGUAGGAGUUUGCCUGCAGGUGGCAGUGAGGGGGAUAGGCUGCGAGGCCUUGUAGAACGAGGGGGAAACAAACCCUUAGAGGCAGGUGCUGAAGUAGGUGCUGUAGGAGGUCUGGAACAUCCACCGGAACUUCCUCCAAGACUGCAGGGUACAGCAGUGCCUCGAACUGCAGGCAGCGACACACCAGGCCUCAGAUUAUCGAGUAACAGCAAUUUUGAGCUGUGCACAUCCCAUCCUGAACUGGAACAAGUUGUUACAGAGCCAGAAUUGGAUCUUUCAACUUCAUUACGUGAGUACCCAUGGUUCCAUGGGACUUUGCCUCGUUCAGAUGCUGCUCAGUUGGUGCUACAUGAAGGGGCAACAGGUCAUGGUGUAUUUCUUGUGCGACAGAGUGAGACACGGAAGGGUGAAUUUGUGCUCACUUUUAAUUUUCAGGGGAAAGCAAAACACCUCCGAAUGACGUUGAAUGACCAGGGCCAGUGCCGAGUACAGCACCUGUGGUUUCCAACAAUUUUUGACAUGUUAGAACACUUUCGUCAGCACCCAAUUCCAUUGGAAUCCGGAGGAACUGCAGAUGUGACUUUGACUGAGUUUGUGGUAGCAGCCAUCAUGCCACCGACAGGUGGACGAGGAAGCUCUACAGGUGGACAGCCGACAGGUACUGAGGCUAGGAGGCCGGCAGCACCACCCGAACCUCGAGAGGUGUGAGUCCGCGCUGUGGUCGAUACAAUUGGUGCCUCUAACUUUGGACUUGAUAAUUCCCAUCACAAACUUCUUGGUGCCAGCUGUGAAGAACUAUUUUGGUUGCUCCUGCAGCCAUGCCUGUAUUGCUUUAUUUCAUCAUUGCAUGUGAAUCAGUGGUCUUUGGUAGUAUAAUCAAAUGGUGAAAGAUUCUGAUUUUAACUGAUGAGUGUUUCAUUUAUUAAUGACACUGUAUUGUCAUGAAGCAUGAAAACACCCUCAAAGAGUCUGCAUGUUUAUUUAGUUUCAGUUUGUAAUACAGCAUGAUGUAGCAUCGCAUCCACUAGGUCCAGCCCUUUAUAAUUCUAGAAAAAUUCAGCAUCAAUUUGUUGGCAGAAUCUUGAGUCUAAAACUCUUUUGUGAGUUUGGGUGCUUAUACUCAAGGUUCUAGCAUUUUUCUUACGUGUAUAGUGAUGCACUAUUGAUGAGAGAAAAGAAUAUACUUGUGCAUGUAGAGUGUAGGUAUACUGAGUUUUAUCAAAGUUGGCCGGUGGUCUAGGCUGUGUUACUCGUUGAUGAAGAUGCUACAUGCUCCCAGCAUGUGAAGGUCAUGUUCAGCUGCAGUCUCUUUCAGCUAGGAUUUGGAGAUAUCAAAAAUUAAUUUUGUUGCCUUACCAUAUGGGCAGAGGCUAGGAAGGCAAUAAGACCAAACUUAUAAACAUGAUUAUUAUAGUAUAAGCUGUACACAUGAAGAAAGUCAGUAGAUACCUUAAGAUACCAUUGUAAUUCCCAAAGGGAAGGAAGGGGUAGAGUUGAGAAGAAAUCCAAAGGAAUGCCUGUAUGAGUUGUGUUGUAGUAACGAUUCGAUUCUGUUUUACAUUAACAGCAUAUGUUUGACAGUACUUUGAUUAUAUUCUUACAGCAGUAAUUUUCUAAUCAUUUCCAGUAAUAAUUAAUUAUGAAAUAAAUCUUCGAGAAAGUAAUGAUUGGCCAUUCCUGAGGCUGUAAACUUAUUUGUGACCAUCUUACAGAGUUUUGUAUAAAGAUUAAUAAUUGUAAUUUCAUUAAAAUAGAUUGCUACUGGCUGAAAUAUACAGUGAAUAUUCUAUUAAAACUAAAUAUGUGAGUCUACCCUAAUCCAGAACAAGAAAUGUGUGUAAGAAGUUUGAAAUUCUCAAAAUUUCUGUAUUUCUUGUUGGUUCUAAUAGGCAUUUAGCAGUAACCUUUUCAAUAGCAUGCCCUAAAAAACUUUAUGAUUUACUUGCAGUGUAUUCUGUAACCGCUACAUUUAGUAGCAAUAGCAGUGCCAUAGGCUACACAUUAUUUUUCCACAUUACAGAAGAAUGUAUCUGAUGCGGCAAGUAUUCAGUUUUAUUUUACUGUGUUGAAGUUUAAAUCCAGUUGAUAUCCAGAAUCUGAUUAAGAUGCCAUUAAUACAGUUUGGAAUUUGAAGUUCACUUCAAGUCUGGUUUAGUGGCUUAAAUGUGUAUGUCAUUCAUACAGUUUCUUGAUACAUAGAUCUCAUGAAGUUGAUAAUCACUCAUCUGUCAAGAAAUUUUCCACCUUUUAUGAAACUAGUGUUUAUCACAUUUACAAAAACUUAUCAUUGGACCUAUCCCAAGCCAGUUGAAUCCAGUCCACGCACUCAUACCAUGUUUGUUUAAGAUCUGUGUACAUAUUAUCCUGUCAUCUACAUCUGUGUCUCCAAAGAAGUUUAUUCUCUUCAGGUUUUCUCAUGUUUUAUAUGCAUUCUGCUUCUAUCUGUUCAUGCUAAAUGUACUGUGCAUCUCAUUCUCCCUGAUUUGAUAAUCCUAAUAAUAAUGUUUGGUGAAGAGUACAAAUUAUAUAGCUUUUUACUUUCUGAUUCACUCCAAUUUUCUUUUACUCCUGUCUCUUAGGUCCAGAUAUUUGCCCUUAUGGUAAGAAACUGUAUUUUAUACCCAUAUAAGACAGUGUAUAAAAUUAUUAUACUUGCAUAUAUUUUAUAUAUUGCAUAUAUUUAUUAGGUUUUUACAUUUUUAUGUGCAUAAUUAACAUUAUGUUACAGAAUUAAAAUUAGUUAUUUGUCUGUAGUUCUAAUAAUGGGUAAUAAAGGCAAAAUAUUUAAACUAUAAUGGAUAGUUGAAAUGUACUGGUAUGUUAGCUCAUCAUUCUUAUUAUACAUGGCUAAUGAAAGGAAAAUUGUAUUAAUUAUGAAAUACAUAUGUAAGCUGAACAUUCGUCUUUCAGGUGAUUAUACAUGGAGGCACAAUUCGAAUGCGUACUGAGUCGAUGGAACGGCUGCAAGAAAGGCAGAGCGGUUUGGGUGGAAGAGCCGUCGAAAACACUUACAGCUUUGUAUGAUGAGAAAGAGAUGUGGAGAAAUGACCUUCCAAUAGAAAUUUAUUUAUUAAAUUAUUACAAGUAUCCAAAACAGUUGCAGAGUUCAAAGAAAAUUACACUGCAUAUACUUUGUUAUACUUUUGGGGUACAGCCUUCAACCAAAGUUCUUGAUAAUGGGUUAAUGUGAAGCCAAAUGUGAGAGGCUGCAGAGAAUCAGACCUUGAUUCAUUUUAACGUAAAUCUGAAUAAAAAUAUGUGAACCCAUUUAUAGUGAUCUACUUCAGCAAUCGUACUUUCAAACACAGAAUGCCAUGAGACAAAUAUCAAAAUUUGGUUCAUUAUGGAUUUUCUUUGUUCUUUACCGGAAUUACAAAUAUCCCACAAGGUGACAGCACUGUGACAUUACAAAUUUGACUUAAUAUGUAGCAGAAUGUUUGGUACCACAGUUUUAUUUCUAUUGAAACUGGAUUGUUGCCAAUGACCAUGUAGUUUGGAAAGCAAAGUAUGUUGAGUGAAUGGGUUCAUUUUGUUCAUAUAAAUAUACAUUUCAUGUCAAGAGUGAUUAUAAAGUAAUCCCAAUUAUUGCUUUACACACAUGCUGCUAGAUGCAUUAUAUUAAGGGAACUGAAUAUUGAGUUAGCUUACAGCUAUUUAGCAGAUCUCAGACCUUGCCUUGGAUUUUUUUUACAGCUAUUCAUAACUGAUAGGAAAGUAUUGUCUUUUCACUCUUCACAGCAAUAACAUACUCUUGUAUUUGAGUUUGGUCAUUUUCUGGUGCUUUGUCUGGACUUAACAUACCCGCCCUAGGUCAUAUUGUAACAUGUAAGAAGACAAGGGUUUUACUUUUAGAAUGAAAUUUUGGCAUGUAGUUUUCUCCGCUGUUACUAGAUGGUGCAUGUACCCAUUGUUUGUGAUUCCUGGAACAUAUGUUAAUUGUUUUGCUAUUCAUUUUUUAACAUGACACCAUGCAGAUCGUUUGAGUAUGCAGGUCUGUAAAUUAUACAUGAAUUACCGCAUGUUUUGAUGCAUUACACAGUGAUUUUUGUUAAAAUUUGUAAUGUAUAUACACUAUUUCCUUUUGUGGGCAAUGGUUGGUUCCAUGCCAUUAGUAUAUUUUAGUUGUUCAUUGUUUUUUGAUUUGUUAUGUGUGUCUGUACUAUGUUAAGUUGAUUGUUCCAUGUCACACAACUCCAAAAGCAUCCAGAACAGCUGAAAUAUAUCAUUGGCACAGAACCAGCUAUUGUCCACGAAAGGAAAUAUUGUAUAGAUUUUAUAGAUUUAAAUAAGAAAAAGAUUGUAAUGCAUCAAAACGUGUAAUAACUUAACAUGUAAUUUACAGAGCUUGUGGUGACUCAUUGUAAUUAAAAACAUAUAUUCUAGCAGAAAAUUGACAUUUCACAAUAGUGUAAAAAAUGUUUUAACAUGGGGGGUGUUUAUAAAGCAAUGGUUUAUUCAACAUGAAAACAUAAAGAAGUAUAAUAUCUGUUCCUUUUGGCACAUAAACCUUGAUUAUUUCACACAAAAUGUGGCCUGUGGUGAUGGGAUGUGUUUAUGAUAUAGCGUGAUGGGCCUGUAGGGAUAGACUAAGAAUGCAAUGGGUUAACAGUAAUGUGAAGAGUAUUGUUUUCUAUAGCAAGGAUAAAUUAUGUUCCAUCUCAGCAUCUUAUCCCUAGAGAACCACAGGUUCUUGUACAAGAAUUGUUUAAUAUUUUAUGAUCACUCUAGUCAUAAAUUGUUUAUUUUCAGUUUUCUCUUUAUUUCACUGCAACCUGAUAUGUCACAGUGUGAUUCAAGUUUUUGAGUGUAAAGUUGAAUUUUUAUUAGCAUUGUGAACAUGUUAAAUAUGUAGAACAUACAUCACAGCAGUCUCUAUAUGCAUUAUUUGGGAAAUAAUAAAUGAUACAAACAAGCAAAAGAAGUUUUGUCACAACUUUUACUUCAGGGUGUAGGAAAUCUUCCUGUUAUGGUUUCAGACAUGACACUUAUGACUCAGAUUUUAUAUUUUUACAGAAUAUGUACAAUAUAUAUUUUAUCCAAUUUUGUUGAUUCAUAUUGAGACUGUUGGAAUUUGCAUGAUAGGAUAAGAAAACAAGAUAACAUAACACACACACUCUCAUAUUUGGUCUGUUGGCUUUCGUACUUUGUUAUAAGUUUUGGCUUCAGCAGUGCUUGUGUCUUUUUCCCCCUCCCCCUUGCUUAAACCCUGCCAGUAUUUUUUGUUAUAGGAGUCGCUGGUUUGCUGAAUGCCAACUCAUUUACUGCCAGCCAGUGGAUGGCACUGAAUAGUGUAAUGAAACAGUAUUAUUAAUGUCAUCAUGCCUCGUCUAAGCACCAUGUUUGUUUCAUCCUCAUUGUUUAUAUAUGAAAUUUCCUUGCUUUAUUGAUAUAUUUAUUACUACAAUCUAUAUUCUCCAAGAUACCUAUAAAACAUAUUUUUCCACAUUCUCUUCAUGAUUUUCAGUAUCUUCGCUAUCUCUUGCACUUGUGUUUCGGAAGUGAAGCUCUCUUGUUUAUACUCUGCCAUUGAGUUUAUGCAUUUUUUAAUGUAUGGUGAAAAAUAAUGUAUAGAUAAUGCCCAGUGAAAUAAUAGAGGACAGGGCAUUCAAUAGAAGAAGAGAAAAGCUGUAUUGAAAUUGUAAUUAGCACAACAGACAUUUUUAUUACAGCCAGUAAAGAUAGUCUUUACUGCUUGAAGUAAAGUAAUCAGUGCAAACAGUGUACAUAUCAGUUAAAAGCAUAGUCUUUGAAAGACAUCAGUUUAGAAAUAAAGCAAGAUGGGAAAAGUCAGAGCAUUUACAUGAUAGAAGGAUCUACAAAUAGUAACAUCUUUAGGCAGCCGCUUCCUAAUGAUGGAGGCAGAGAAGGUUUCCAAAACAUUCGACUUCUGUUCUGAAUUUACACAAUUAGUAACCUGAGAAGAUUUUAUUGCAUUCAGUCAUUGUGAAAGUGUCAAGUCUUAUCUAAUUACAGACAUUACAAAUUUAAAAUGUGUGUCAACAUGACUUCUGUGUCAGAAGUUAAAAUAAGUGCUCAGACUUCUCCUCUCCCAUAAUUCUAUACAUUACAUAUCAGAUUAGCUGUUACUACUGGAUAGAAAGAAACGGCUUUUGUAAUAUCCAGCAUAUAACAGAGAUGCUCUUUCCCACAACCUCAUGGGGCCUGUUAUGAGAAUAAGGUAUGUGUUUGAGCUCAGUGGCCCAAGUGCAUGUAUCCAUUGUAUAACAUUGCUCAAAUGUUACAAAGAAAAAUGUCACUUCUUAAAUUGUCUCAUGUGCCAAAUCAUCUGUUUCAAAGCCUAAGUUAGAAGUGACUAUACUUUCUGUAGUAAGGUGUAGUGAGGUAGUCGAGAAACUCUUACAAUUGCCAUACAUUUCAGAGAGGACCACUGAUAGGAAAUAUUUAAUGUAAUCUGCUUUUUAUAACUAAUCAGGAAGACAAGCCUGCCUGCUCAUGGCCAGUGGUUCCCAAACUAUGUUCCCUGCCCUGGACUGAGAUGUUCUGCUACCAAAAUUAAGUAAUGGCAAUUUGUUCUCAAUCUGCAAUUUUUCUCUUGAGAUGUUCAUGUCAUAUUUUCUUCUAGUAAUAUUCCUAAUCAGAAUAAUGACUUCAAAAAUCACAUUUUUAUGGUGUUCUGUGGAGAACACCAUGAUACCUGUAUACUCUGUGAACUAGUUUUAGAACCAUUACUGCGGGCAGUCACACUUAGCUUGACAGGUCACUUGUUGGUGGCCAGAGGUGUUAGUUCCUUUUCAUCAAAGUUCCUCCUUAUAAAGCAACAGAGCAUUAUCUGUUCUUGCCACCUCAAAGAAGAUAGUGCCACAAGCACACCUGAUUAGCAGUAAAAACAUUUUGAAUAUGUAAUUUUCAAAGCAGUGACAAAGAUUUCUUCCUGUGGGUUUUGGUCCAUUUUCCAUUAUUUCGCAUUCUCUAAAUUCUCUUCUUAUUUACAGCUUCAUCUGUGGGUUACAGCUUAAGUUGAGGAUUGGGUUUCUAUCUUAGUGGGGAUUUUCAAAGUCCAUGUAGGAGGAAUCCUUGGAUGGAGACCAUCUCAAAAGUCCAUACCAUCAUAAAAUAAUUCUUAAAAACAUGAUCAUGCACACCCUGAGCAUGAUUAAGAUUUUAAAUCCCAGUGCUAGAGCAGCCUAUGACUAUUAUUAGUAUUUUUGGUAUGACAUAAUUAAAUAAACACUGGUGUUUGAAAUAUUUUAAUUGUGAAAUUUGCCCUCUGGUAGCUUAGAUUUAUGUGUGCACCAAAAAUAUGUGCUGCUUACUGAAAGAUAUGCAGUAGGCAUGAAAUAUUCUUCUCCAGUGUUUCUUAGGGUGGGUGACUGUUUAUUAUGUAAAACACUGCAUUCUAUAAUGUACAGGACGUGUGUGUAGUUUUAUAUACUAUUGAAGUGUGUUUUCCAGUAUGAAUCAUGUGUGAAAUGUGGAUCUCCUGGAAAGAGUCAGAGAACAUUUUAAUGGUAAGUUUCCUGGGAUCACAGUUUCAAGCACAUCUGGCAUCCAUAAACUUAUUAGGAAAGUCAGGUGUAUUGGGUAACUUCUGGACAAGAAACCUGCUAAAAAUGCAGUGUGCUUAACUAAGAAAAACUAGAUGGAAUAAGAUCUAGAGCAGAACACACAACAGAAUCAUUGAGACAUCUUCUACAGGAGACCAACAUCUUGGAAUCAUCAGCAGCCAAAGUGGUGAAGCAGUGAAUUUCAGCCUAUUUAAAUGUUACAGAGAGUGUGUGCAUGUACAGGGACAUCAUUGUCAUCAUCUCUCAUAAUAUAGGUAAGUUUAUUCAUUGUCUGUAUGGAGCGAUACUUGACUCAUCAGGAAAAUCUUGUGGUGCUUGGUGGUGAGUCACGCAGUUCCUGCCAGGAAGACAGUGCAUGUGACUGUUAGCGAAUGCACUGUAGAUACUAUAUAACCAGAAUUUGAUUUUUCAUUUAAUUUUUGCAUUAUAUUUUGUAAGUAUAACUCAUUAUCUUAUACAUGUUUUACAUUCCUCAGAUAUGUCUUUUCACAGUUUGUACAGGAAGAUAGAUUUGGUGUAUUCAUUAAAAGGAUAAGAAUUAUGAAGCAUGUGUUUAUCUACAAAGUCUAAUUUUUAUUUUAAUUGUAUAUUUACAUGUUUUCACAUAACAUGUAGACUCAACUCAUUUGUUCAUACCAACAUUUAUUAUUGCAGUGUGGAAGUACAAUAUGUUUUUUUCAAAACAGUAAUACACCACUGAAUUUAAGUAUGCAUAUAUUCAAGGUCUGACAUUUAAAUAAUUAAAUUUAUUGUAGAGAAAUAUUUAUUAUUGUCAUUGGCCUUUAGUGAAUGUUGUCACCUUCAAAUAAUUCUAUUCUUACAUAUAUACAUUCCAGUGCCUGGAAUCAUUGCUGGAAAUCAUUUUUCAAAUGUAUUUUCUGUACUGUUGUGACAUUGCUUGGAAAGUAUUCUAAGCUUUAAAAUGAGACCCUUUCGAGGACACUGUUUAAUUGAAUGGUAGAUUAGGUUUGUGGUAGUUGUGUCUAUUCCUUGUUCUGUUUUUGUCGAUUACAGUUUGGAAAACAUGAAAAAGCCUUAUGGGGCCAGAUCAAUCAAGUAUAGUGGAUGUUCAAACAUUGUUAUUGUCUUCAGGUCAAAUAUCACCUUACCAAAAGUGCUGUGUGGAGGGUUUACUGUCAUGAUAAAAAAUCCACUUGUCCAACUAUUUGUCAUGAUGACUGGAUUUUCUCUUGAAACUUCAGCUUUAUGUUUCUAGGUCAUACCAUAAGACCAAAGUGUAAUCACCAGUAUCUGUUUUAUAAAAAAAAUUUGGUGUGUUCCAGAGUGAGCAGAAAUGUUUUUCUAGUUAUUUUAUGCUUGCUGCUGAAAUAUGUCAAUGUCAUCUUCACACAGACUUCUCAUCAUUUUCAGAUUUUUGGUCAGUAUUAAUCUCAUAGUUACUCUAUUUGUGUCAGUUCUUCUAUUUCCAAACAAUCACCUAAUGAUUAUUGCUUAUCAUUUCAGUUACUUUUUUUUAAUUAGUUCCCUUCAUAAUAUUUGUAUCUUCUUUCCUUUCGUCUUGAAAUCCUUUAAAAUACACAAAAGCCUGUGUUCUCUGUUUCCUCUCCAUGUAACAUUUUGUGUCACUGGUAUUUUUAAUCAGGUUUGCUAAAAUUGUAAUGUUGGCAUAUCAAUUUUUGCUUCAGAAAUAUUACAUGGGGCGAUGGGUAUUAUUAAAAGUAAAAAAUGGAAAUAGUUUGGAUUAUGAACUUUACAAGACAAAAGAAAUAUUUGUUCAUUCAGAGUGCACAGGUAAUUUAAUUAAUGUACUGUAUUUAUUAUGUUGACAGUGAAACCCCUUUCUUUCCCAUGCUACAGUUUUUACCAAGCCUGACAAAAAUUUUGGUUGCAGAUUUGCAGAGCAUAUUUUUGAAAAUCAUAAAUCAAAUUGUAAAGGUAGAGAAUAAUGAAAGAAAGAAGCCAUUUUGUGGACAAAUGACUUGUUUAAAAUGUAAAAUGCAUGAAGUUAUGCUGCCACCAUUAAAUUUUGAAAUACAUACAAGUAAAUUGAAUCUUAAAUUAGUUUUGCAGCAUAUCUUAACCAUAAAUUACAAUUGCCAUUAUUCUUACAAUAGAAUGCAAUGUUAAAACAAUUAACCAUAACAAUGAAUAAUAAUUUAUGAAGUAUCCUUGUCAUGCCUUCAGAUGUAUCAUGUCAUGCCAGCAUAUAUUUGUUAAACAUGAUAUACUGGCUUUAUUGAUCUAACUGAAACUUCAUCUUGUUUGUGCUUCUCAUAAAUAUUAAUUCCUUAAUAGUGUUAUUGCAGUGAAUUUAUAUACAAAUAUAAGCAUUGAGGAACCGACAAACAUGGUGCAUGUUUGAUGUUUGAAAAUAACACAUGUUGUUGUGUGUUUUGCCCUUGUAAAGAGCCAAGAAAAAGCAAACCACUGACAUGUAAUAAUAACCCAUGACUCAUAAUGCAAGUAAAGACCAAAGAUUAUACUUUAUUGUGUUUGUAUAAAUAAUAAAAGUAAUAUGAAAUGUACUACAGGUUUAUUCUGUUUCAUAUUAUUUUAGAUUUUCUAAACCUUGUAUGUGAAAGCACUGUACUCUGGGAUGUAAACUUUGGGUGGUUGGUCCAGAAGAUUUCAGUUUAGUUGCAUUUUUUUGUUCCAUUAAAAGAAAAAGAAGACUUAUUGUAAAUAUAUUAGUUGUAUUAAUACUAUUAUUAUUCUAGUCGUUUAUAUUGUGUACAUAUAUCUUCUCAGAAUACAAUACAUGAUCAUUGUAGUAUGUC
This is a non-coding RNA of Zootermopsis nevadensis, 11452 nucleotides long. Lineage: Eukaryota; Metazoa; Arthropoda; Insecta; Blattodea; Termopsidae. The record is from RefSeq and is a predicted model, not a curated record.